This 499-nucleotide ribosomal RNA is filed under the name uncultured archaeon. RNAcentral's name for it is "bacterial SSU rRNA". It matches the Rfam family "Archaeal small subunit ribosomal RNA", at positions 346 to 877 of the family's 1478-position model. The record is from RNAcentral.
AACUUUACAAUGCAGGCAACUGCGAUAAGGGGACAUCGAGUGGCAGCAUCAUGUGUGUCUGUCCACCCGUACGGGUGUAGCAAGGGCCGGCAAGACGGGUGCCAGCCGCCGCGGUAACACCGGCGGCCCGAGUGGUGAUCGUGAUUAUUGGGUCUAAAGGGUCCGUAGCCGGUUUGGUCAGUCCUCCGGGAAAUCUGAUAGCUCAACUAUUAGGCUUCGGGGAUACUGCCAGACUUGGAACCGGGAGAGGUAAGAGGUACUACAGGGGUAGGAGUGAAAUCUUGUAAUCCCUGUGGGACCACCUGUGGCGAAGGCGUCUUACCAGAACGGUUCGACGGUGAGGGACGAAAGCUGGGGGCACGAACCGGAUUAGAUACCCGGGUAGUCCCAGCCGUAAACGAUGCUCGCUAGGUGUCAGGUGGUGCCGCAGGGAAGCCGUGAAGCGAGCCACCUGGGAAGUACGACCGCAAGGCUGAAACUUAAGGAAUUGGCGGGGAGC